RNAcentral lists this ribosomal RNA (568 nucleotides) under Triticum aestivum (bread wheat). RNAcentral's name for it is "partial small subunit ribosomal RNA". Lineage: Eukaryota; Viridiplantae; Streptophyta; Magnoliopsida; Poales; Poaceae. The record is from RNAcentral.
AGAAUGGCCUCUGCAGGAGUGCCUCGCCAGAGCAGGAGAUGCAGCGGGCCUGGGACGGUUUUUGGCACCGGAUCGAUCCACUGGUGCCUGUCGGCGUCGCCUAGGGUGCAGCCGGUGGCGACGGCGCACUCCGCCCGGCUUCCUCCCGUCGAUGGCGCGACGACCCACUGCUCCAGUGGCUGCGGUGGCUCGUGCUCCUCCUCGCCGCGUCUCCUCCGUGUGCGGCGCCGACGGACUGACCGCUGCCUUGCCGCAUCUCUCCCUCCACUCUUUUCUUCUCCUCCCCUGGCACUCUCUCACUUUCCUCUCUAUCUCUCUCUCUCACAGAGGAAACUGCCGGCCGCCGCAGUGAGCUCGUCGGAUCCACAGCCCCAUGCCGCCUAGCGACCAGAUCCGCCCGGAUGUGUCCAUGUACGGACAACGCGAGUGCGGCGAGCUCGGCAGGGAGAGCAGCGGCGACGAGCUCGGUGGCGGGAGAAGAACGACGAGGAGGGGAGGAGGGGAACACAGCGUCGGAGGAACGAAGGAGAGGGGCGUGAGCGCGAGGGGGCGACGGGGGCGGAGGCGA